RNAcentral lists this non-coding RNA (1147 nucleotides) under Drosophila willistoni. RNAcentral's name for it is "Eukaryotic large subunit ribosomal RNA". It matches the Rfam family "Eukaryotic large subunit ribosomal RNA", at positions 37 to 992 of the family's 3401-position model. The record is from Rfam by way of RNAcentral. Lineage: Eukaryota; Metazoa; Arthropoda; Insecta; Diptera; Drosophilidae.
AGCAUAUAAUUAGGGGAGGAAAAGAAACUAACAAGGAUUUUCUUAGUAGCGGCGAGCGAAAAGAAAAUAGUUCAGUACUAACAAUAAGUCACUUUGUCUUUAUGGCAAAUGUAAGAUGCAGUGUAUGGAGCAUCAAUAUUCUAGUAUGAGAAAUUAUCGAUUUAAGUCCUUCUUAAAUGAGGCCAUUUACCCAUAGAGGGUGCCAGGCCCGUAUAACGUUAAUGAUUACUAGAUGGUGUUUCCAAAGAGUCGUGUUGCUUGAUAGUGCAGCACUAAGUGGGUGGUAAACUCCAUCUAAAACUAAAUAUAACCAUGAGACCGAUAGUAAACAAGUACCGUGAGGGAAAGUUAAAAAGAACUCUGAAUAGAGAUUUAAAUAGUACGUGAAACUGCUUAGAGGUUAAGCCCGAUGAACCUGAAUAUCCAUAAUGGAAAAUUCAUCAUUAGAGCUUUAAUAUUUUAAUAAUAUUAUAAUAAUAGUGUGCAUUUUUUCCAUAUAAGGACAUUGUAAUCUAUUAACAUAAACUAAAUUUAUCAUAAAAUAUGAGUUAUAGUUUAUUUAAAUUAUUUUGCUUGCAUUUUAACAUAGAAUAAAUGUCAUUAAUUUGAUAAAGUGUUGAUAGAUUUAUAUGAAUACAGUGAGUUAAUUUUUUGGAAUUAUAUAAUAGCAUGAUUAUCAUUGAUUUUUUGUGUUUAUUAUAUGCACUUGUAUAUGCACUUGAUUAACAAAGCGAAAGAUUCAGGAUACCUUCGGGACCCGUCUUGAAACGCGGACCAAGGAGUCUAACAUAUGUGCAAGUUAUUGGGAUAUAAAACUAACAGCAUAAUUAACUUGACCAAUAAUGGGAUUAGUUUUUUAACUUUUUAUAGAUAAUUAACACAAUCCCGGGGCGUUCUAUAUAGUUAUGUAUAAUGAUAUUUAUAUUAUUUAUACCUCUAACUGGAACGUACCUUGAGCAUAUAUGCUGUGACCCGAAAGAUGGUGAACUAUACUUGAUCACGUUGAAGUCAGGGGAAACCCUGAUGGAAGACCGAAACAGUUCUGACGUGCAAAUCGAUUGUCAGAAUUGAGUAUAGGGGCGAAAGACCAAUCGAACCAUCUAGUAGCUGGUUCCUUCGAAGUUUCCCUCAGAUAGCUGGUGCAUUU